GCSGUUYAUAWAUCGUGAAGUUAACYUGGGCGUUAAGCGCACGCAGCCGUCUGUUAGUCAGAUGUGAAAUCYCCCGGGCUUAACUCGGAACUGCAUUUGAAACUGGCAGGCUUGAGUCUGUAGAGGGGGGGUAGAAUUCCCAGUGUAGCGGUGAAAUGCGUAGAGAUCUGGAGGARUACCGGUGGCGAAGRCGGCCCCCCYGGACAAAGACUGACGCUCAGGUGCGAAAGMGUGGGGAGCAAACASGAUUAGAUACCCUGGUAGUCCACGCCGUAAAMGAUGUCGACUUGGAGGUUGUUCCCUUGAGGAGUGGCUUCYGGAGMUAACGCGUUAAGUCGACCGCCUGGGGAGUACGGCCGCAAGGUUAAAACUCAAAWGAAUUGACGGGGGCCCGCACAAGCGGUGGAGCAUGUGGUUUAAUUYGAUGCAACGCGAAGAACCUUACCUACUCUUGACAUCCASSGAAYUUKGCAGAGAUGCMUURGUGCCUUCGGGAACSCUGAGACAGGUGCUGCAUGGCUGUCGUCAGCUCGUGUUGUGAAAUGUUGGGUUAAGUCCCGCAACGAGCGCAACCCUUAUCCUUUGUUGCCAGCGAUUCGGUCGGGAACUCAAAGGAGACUGCCGGUGAUAAACCGGAGGAAGGUGGGGAUGACGUCAAGUCAUCAUGGCCCYUACGAGUAGGGCUACACACGUGCUACAAUGGCGCAUACAAAGAGAAGCGACCUCGCGAGAGCAAGCGGACCUCACAAARUGCGUCGUAGUCCGGAUCGGAGUCUGCAACUCGACUCCGUGAAGUCGGAAUCGCUAGUAAUCGUGGAUCAGAAUGCCACGGUGAAUACGUUCCCGGGCCUUGUACACACCGCCCGUCACACCAUGGGAGUGGGUUGCAAAAGAAGUAGGUAGCUUAACMUCGGAGGSCGCYWMYCMCUAGUCCCCGACUGAAGGGACCUUGU
This 953-nucleotide ribosomal RNA is filed under the name Pantoea conspicua. RNAcentral's name for it is "partial 16S ribosomal RNA". It matches the Rfam family "Bacterial small subunit ribosomal RNA". Lineage: Bacteria; Pseudomonadati; Pseudomonadota; Gammaproteobacteria; Enterobacterales; Erwiniaceae. The record is from RNAcentral.